AUGAGGUACCACAGAGCAUCAGGACAGGGGGGGGACAGCAGGGACAUGGGCACAGGGACAGCAGGGCACGAGGGACUGCAGGGCAUCAGGACAGCGGGGACAGGAGGGUGCCACAGGGGACAGGAAAAACAGAGACCUGGGGCACCAGGACUGUGGGGACAUGGGGCACCUCAGGCCACCAGCACCAGGUGGACACGGGCCAUCGGCAUGCCAGGACACAAGCACACAGGGGACACGAGGCAGGCUGACAGCGGGGCCAGGGCCACCGCAGGGACGGGACGGUGGCCAGCGGUGGCCGGGGACCCUACCGGGCAGCACGGUCUGGUUGGGGCCGUCGGUGGCCAGGGGCUUGCACAGGUCCUCGAAGUAGCCCAGGUCCUUGAGGACGAAGACAAGGGAGGCCCAGCCGAAGAUGAUGCCGCAGAAGGCGCCGCACUCCAGCAGCCCCGACAGGAGGGUCCCCAGGCGCUUGCCCACCCCCGCGCCCCCCCCGCCCAUGUCACCGGCCUGGGGCGUCCCCGCCGCGCCUGUGGGGUGACAAACAGCGGGGCGUCACAGCCCGCCCGGCACCGCCCGACACCCCCUGCGCCUGCCCGGCACCAGGAGCGGGGGGCUCGGGGGCACGUGGCCACCCGGGCAAAGGCCACCAUGGUCCCGGCUCUGCCCCUUGUCCCCGUCCGCCGGCGGCUGGCACCGGGCCCCCCCACGCGCCGGGCACGGGGCAGGACCCUGCUGGCGGCUGGGGCUCCGCACACGCGUGCACGCCUGCUCACACGCACACACGUGCACCCACAGACACGCACAGGUGCUCACACAUGUGCAAAUGUGCUCACACGCGUGCACACACACUCACACGUGUGUUCCCCCCCCUCUCGCCCCCCCACACCCACCUGCGCCGGGCCGGGCCCUGUCACCGUUGCUGCCGCCGCGGAGUUUGGACCCUGGCACACGGAGCCCGGGGCGCACCCCGCACCCCCUGCACGGCCCCCCCCAAUCUCCCGCCAGCACCCGCAGCCCCCCUGGGGCUGA
Molecule: long non-coding RNA, 1029 nt
Filed under: Calidris pugnax (ruff)
Lineage: Eukaryota; Metazoa; Chordata; Aves; Charadriiformes; Scolopacidae
Description: lncRNA (ENSCPUG00000015236.1)
Source: RNAcentral